UAAUACGUAGGAGGCAAGCGUUAUCCGGAUUUACUGGGCGUAAAGAGGGCGUAGGCGGCUUUUCAAGUCGGAUGUGAAAUCUCCCGGCUCAACUGGGAGAGGCCAUCCGAUACUGUUGGGCUGGAGUGCAGCAGAGGGAGGUGGAAUUCCCGGUGUAGUGGUGAAAUGCGUAGAUAUCGGGAGGAACACCAGUGGCGAAGGCGGCCUCCUGGGCUGUUACUGACGCUGAGGCCCGAAGGCGUGGGGAGCAAACAGGAUUAGAUACCCUGGUAGUCCACGCCGCAAACGAUGGACACUAGGUAUAGGGAGUAUCGACCCUCUCUGUGCCGAAGCUAACGCAUUAAGUGUCCCGCCUGGGGACUACGGCCGCAAGGCUA
Molecule: ribosomal RNA, 377 nt
Filed under: uncultured Chloroflexota bacterium
Lineage: Bacteria; Bacillati; Chloroflexota
Description: bacterial SSU rRNA
Rfam family: Bacterial small subunit ribosomal RNA
Source: RNAcentral